GUCUAUGGCCAUAUGACCCUGAACAUACCUAAUCUUAUCUGAUCUCAGAAUCUAAGCAGGGUUGGGCCUGGUUAGUAUUUGGAUGGGGGACCAGUGCUUGGAAGAUCUCUCUCCCUCUGCCU
Molecule: ribosomal RNA, 122 nt
Organism: Ochotona princeps (American pika)
Lineage: Eukaryota; Metazoa; Chordata; Mammalia; Lagomorpha; Ochotonidae
Source: Ensembl